AGCGAACGCUGGCGGCAGGCCUAACACAUGCAAGUCGAACGAACCUUUCGGCGUUAGUGACGGACGGGUUAGUAACCCGUUGGAACGUGCCUUUAGGUUCUGAAUAACUCACUGGAACUUGUGCUAAUACCUAAUGUUCCCUUCGGGUGAAAGCUUUAUCGCCUUUAGAUUGGCGCGCGUCUGAUUAGCUAGUUGUUUGCGUUACUGGCUCACCAAGGCGACGAUCAGUAGCUGGUCUGAGAGGAUGAUCAUCCAGAUUGGGACUGAGACACGGCCCAAACUCAGACGGGAGGCAGCAGUGGGGAAUCGAGCGAAAUGGGCGAAAGGAUGAAGCAGCUAUGCGGCGUGAAUGAUGAAGGUCUUAGGAUAGAAAAAUUCUUUCAGGGGAGAAGAUAAUGACGGUACCCGGAGAAGAAGCCACGGCUAACUACGUG
This 434-nucleotide ribosomal RNA is filed under the name uncultured bacterium. RNAcentral's name for it is "partial 16S ribosomal RNA". It matches the Rfam family "Bacterial small subunit ribosomal RNA", at positions 29 to 507 of the family's 1533-position model. The record is from RNAcentral.